This 331-nucleotide unclassified non-coding RNA is filed under the name soil metagenome. RNAcentral's name for it is "partial contains 5.8S ribosomal RNA, internal transcribed spacer 2, and large subunit ribosomal RNA". The stretch from base 1 to 120 matches the Rfam family "5.8S ribosomal RNA", at positions 35 to 154 of the family's 154-position model. The record is from RNAcentral.
GAUGAAGAACGUAGCGAAAUGCGAUAAGUAAUGUGAAUUGCAGAACUCAGUGAAUCAUCGAAUCUUUGAACGCACAUUGCGCCCCCUGGCCUUCCGGGGGGCAUGCCUGUUCGAGCGUCAUUUCACCACUCAAGCCUCGCUUGGUAUUGGGCAACGCGGUCCGCCGCGUGCCUCAAAUCGACCGGCUGGGUCUUCUGUCCCCUAAGCGUUGUGGAAACUAUUCGCUAAAGGGUGUUCGGGAGGCUACGCCGUAAAACAACCCCAUUUCUAAGGUUGACCUCGGAUCAGGUAGGGAUACCCGCUGAACUUAAGCAUAUCAAUAAGCGGAGGA